AAACCCCUAAUGCUGACUAAAGGAAAGAGUUCAGUUUAGGGUUUAAACCCUAAUGUUGACUGAAUGGAAAAAAGUUCAGUUUAGGGUUUAAAACCCUAAUGCUGACAAAAGGAAGAGUUUAGUUUAGGGUUUAAAACCCUAAUACUGACUAAAGGAAAGAGUUCAGUUUAGGGUUUAAAACCCUAAUGCUAACUAAAGGAAAAGUUCAGUUUAGGGUUUAAAACCCUAAUGCUGACUGAAUGGAAAAAGUUUAGUUUAGGGUUUAAAACCCUAAUGCUGAUUAAAGGAAAAGUUCAGUUUAGGGUUUAAAACCCUAGUGCUGUCUGAAUGGAAAAAUCCAGUUUAUGGUUUAAAACCCUAAUGCCAACUAAAGGAAAGAGUUCAGUUUAGGGUUUAAAACCCUAAUGCUGACUAAAUGGAAAAAUUCAGUUUAGGGUUUAAAACCCUAAUGCUGAUUAAAGGAAAGAGUUCAGUUUAGGGUUUAAAACCCUAAUGCUGACUGAAUGGAAAAAGUUCAGUUUGGGGUUUAAAACCCUAAUGCUGACUAAAGGGAAAAGUUCAGUUUAGGGUUUAAAACCCUAAUGCUGACUGAAAGGAAAAGUUCAGUUUAGGGUUAAAACCCUAAUGCUGACUAAAGGGAAAUAGUUCAG
This 650-nucleotide long non-coding RNA is filed under the name Nicotiana tabacum (common tobacco). Its description in RNAcentral is "long non-coding RNA (NTAB_LNC004189)". Lineage: Eukaryota; Viridiplantae; Streptophyta; Magnoliopsida; Solanales; Solanaceae. The record is from RNAcentral.